AUCAUCGAGUCUUUGAACGCAAGUUGCGCCCGAAGCCUCCGGGCCGAGGGCACGUCUGCCUGGGCGUCACGCA
RNAcentral lists this ribosomal RNA (73 nucleotides) under Guaiacum sanctum (lignum-vitae). RNAcentral's name for it is "partial 5.8S ribosomal RNA". Lineage: Eukaryota; Viridiplantae; Streptophyta; Magnoliopsida; Zygophyllales; Zygophyllaceae. The record is from RNAcentral.